Molecule: long non-coding RNA, 378 nt
Organism: Gopherus evgoodei (Goodes thornscrub tortoise)
Lineage: Eukaryota; Metazoa; Chordata; Testudines; Testudinidae
Exons: 3
Source: RefSeq, a predicted model, not a curated record
UACAUAGAAAUAGAGAAAUGAAAGCUGAAAUCAUUUACAAAACUAUGAUCACUCCAAGAUCAGCAGGAGAGAUGGGAAAGACAGAAGACUGAGGAGCUGAGCAUUUGAGGUACAUGGAAAUCAGUGGUGCCUAUUGUCCACAAACAGCCUAUGUAAAAGAUUUGUAUUCCUAUUGGGAAACUUGGACAGGUACUGGUAUUAUAUUUUGAUACUAAAGAGGCAAUACUGGACUUUUUGACAGGGAUACGAGAGACACAGGAUCUAAGAUUUUUCAGCUCUAACUUGUGUGCCUUUUAGUUCAUAUCUUUAAUCUGCUGCAAUAUAUGUUCUCUGACAUUUAGUCUUUGAAAAAAGAAAGAGGAGUACUUGUGACACCCU